UGGAAAACCAGACGAACAAGUAGUUAGGGAAAAGGAGAGAGCAAGAGAGAGAGCUUUACAUGGACAGGGAGGCAAACAAUCCUCUGCUGAAGGGCUCCCUCACAAUUGCCCAGUUUCUUUAUCGCCCUGGAGCUUGUUUAUCUCGCCCAGGCAAAACAGACACGUUGCUUUAUCUUCAGGCCAAGGUUAAAGGGGUUGAAGCUGAGCUCUCUCUCUGGCCAGGAAUCCCAGAGCCCUGUAAAGGUCAUUUAGUCCCUCCUCACCACAGCACCCAAAUCAGCUUGCCUGUUGGUAUCUGUGUGAAAAAUUAAACGUGCUCUACGUCUCCCACGUGGGCGAGAACCCCCGGAGACAGGCUGCUAUCCAGGGGCCUUGGCUGCUAACAGAUUCCUUUUUUUUAAAAGCCCCCCAGAAGUUGUCAUCCCUACACUGCCUGCGUGUCUCAGGGAGACGGAUAAAUGCCAGGGGCACUGCGGAGUUGCUCUGAUUCUGAUGGGAUGUUAUAGCUCCGGCUCAAAGGGCCCCUCGGCAUUUUGGGUCAGAGCUUUCAGGCGCUGGGGGCUUUGCAGUGACGUCAUCGCCAGGAACACAAACAUUCUCUGUUGAAAAUGCUGAAGACCAAAAGCCUAGAUUAGACAAGUAUUCGAUUUCGCUGUCUCUCAGCAUGGUACCAUGUGAUAGCCACAAGGAAUGCUGUAGAUGAAGACUUCAAAGAAAUAUGGGAUACCUGUGUGAAGUGAUGCUGAGGGAACAAAGAAGGAUCAAAAGAAGCCUAGAAGAAGGGAAGAACACGACAACACUCACUAUGAUAAGCACUGACAUCAGUGUAAAAGCCAAGGGGUUAUGAAGACCAGAGAUGGGGAGAGGAGGCAAAGGGGGCCAGUUUGGCUUCCUGCUGCUGCCAGUGCCCCAAAUACGCCCCCCUGCCUGGGACACUGCUGCCACAAGCAACACCCCAGGCUGCUACCAUGGAAACAAAGGAAGAAACACAAAGAAGGCUGGAAGCAGGCAACAGUGUCUGAAGAUGCUUAGUAGAGCAGAAGCUGAAUGCCAACUUUGAAACCUGGAAAGACUUAUAUGAACGGAUGCAAAGGGAAGUCAGCAGAACCAGGAGAACAUUGCACAUGGUAAUAGCAAUAUUUGUAUGAUGGUCAACUGUGAAUGACUUAACUCAUUCAAGGAGCCAGGACAACUCCAAGGGAAUCAAUCAUGAUGAAAAAGGCUAUCCACCACCAUAGAAGGAACUGACAGAGUCUGAAUGCACAUUAAAACAUACCAUUUUUCCUUCAUGAA
Molecule: long non-coding RNA, 1293 nt
Organism: Monodelphis domestica (gray short-tailed opossum)
Lineage: Eukaryota; Metazoa; Chordata; Mammalia; Didelphimorphia; Didelphidae
Source: RefSeq, a predicted model, not a curated record